GUAAGACCUACAGGCCACACCCUGCAUCAUCUGAAUGCAACUCAGACAUUUUACUUAAACUAAAGCCUA
RNAcentral lists this transfer RNA (69 nucleotides) under Trapelus sanguinolentus. RNAcentral describes it as "tRNA-Ala". The record is from RNAcentral. Lineage: Eukaryota; Metazoa; Chordata; Lepidosauria; Squamata; Agamidae.